CAUCGAGAGGAAGCAAGCAGAUUGACGUAUUACCCACUGCUGUGCAUUUACGAUAGCCAUAUUGAUCGAUUGGAAAUGUUUGGUGAGUCACAUUUAACGCUGUGUCUUACACUACUUUUACAACCAGGGACAGGGGAGGGAGGUCAAAGGGCACAUCAGAAAGCACUCACUUUUACUGUUGGUGAGAAAAAUGGUGGUGGAAUUUCUGUAUCCAGCUACCUUCCUGCCUCAGGACACCUCCUCUCUUUGCUGAAAUUGCUAUUUCCCUUCAAGAGCAAAUCUUUCUGCCCACAGAUGAGGAAGAUAAUGGUACCUUGCAAAAUACAAUACAGGAUAUUUGCAAAACACUUUCUUACAUAUUUCCUCACAGGAGUCUCACCAAACAAACAAGCGUUCUAAAAUGAGUUGGGUGCUUCUUAUUAGGCCUGAACGCGACAUCCAAGUAUGGCAAUAUGACUGUGUCUUGUGUCCCACCUCUGAGUUCAGAGGUGGAGACCCUUGUGCUCUGCCUUCCCACCUCCUCACCACUCCAGCUGCCUCUUGUCCUCACUGCCUGUGGGAGAUUGGUACUUGACUGGUUCAUUCAGUCAAGUACCUUAUUUGACUUGAUAUCGUCGUCGACAUCUUAUUUGAUGAUAGCCAAGACUGAACAAGACUCAGCGAGGACCAUGGAAAAAUCUCUACAACUGCAGAAGCCAAUUCCAGCCUGCCUGUCAGCUGUCUCUGCUGUAGACUCUGGACUGUCUCAAGAGCGACCUCCCUGGAAAUGCACCAUCCUGACAUUUCUGGCCCAUCAGGGCUCUGGCUCCCGGUCCUGACCCUCUCAGACUUUUCACUCCUCUGAAGCUGCCUGCAGAACUCCUGUGUCCAGGAAAAAGCCUACAUCCCACCAAAUGUGACAUAGUCCCAAACACAUUCUCUUUUCCCAGCUUGCAGGGCAGCAGAACUACCUCGUUAGGUGAGCAAGAGAAAGUCUUCUUACACGGUUUAGGCCUGGAUGUGCGUUGUGCUUUGAAAACAUGACUUUUUGUUUAUUUGUUUCAUUUGGAUUUUAAGAGCAAACUCAUUCUUCCAAUAGAGCAGAGUUGGAUUAGCCUCUUGACCUAAAGCAGAGGGGGCCACCAGUCUCUCAUAUAGCAUAAUUCACACUUAUAUAAUGACAAAGACACAUUUCCCAGGGGCAGAUUUUUUAGAACUCUGUGUGUAUAUGUGUGUGACCAUCUCAAGAACAGCAACAAAGUUAGGUGCAGUGGCACAUCCUAUAAUCCCAGGAGGCAUAGGCAGGAAGAUAAUGGUCUGAGGCCGACCUCAGGCAAAACUGUAAGACCCUACCUGAAAAAUAACUAAAGCAAAAGAGGGCUGGAAGCAUGGCUCAAGUGGUACAGCAUCCUCCUAGGAAGCAUGAGGCCCUGAAUUCAAAUCCAAGGACUAUGAAGAAGAAGGAGGAGGAAGAAGAGGAGAGAAGGAAGGAAUAGCAACAAGGAUUAAAUAGCAUUGCUCCAUUCUUCAGAUGAGCUCAGGGUUGUACCCAAGGGCAAACUUAACACAGAAUAAGAGAAAAUGAUCCAAAU
This is a long non-coding RNA of Castor canadensis (American beaver), 1571 nucleotides long. NCBI's taxonomy places the organism in Eukaryota, Metazoa, Chordata, Mammalia, Rodentia, Castoridae. The record is from Ensembl.